CCUCUCAGCCCUUCACUGUCGCCUCUCACUCCGUCAUUCACCAGCGGCUACUAGCCUUGAUGGAAGAGGUGGAGAGGAGGGAAAACAUCAUUUCUGGGAAGCAUGAUGAUGUGAAGGGUGUGGUGACAGCAAGCAAGAGGCAGGCGUGGGAGGAACGGUGUCCAAUGGAGCGUGGAUGAACUUCAACGAAAGUUCAGCCUGAAGUCCCAGCAGGGCGAAAAACAAAGCUGUCUGCACAAAUAAAGCCUAUUCAAGGCACAGGUAGUGGGCCUCCUGCUGCUGUGGAGUACAGCGAGGCUGAGCUAGUACUUCUGCGCAUGCAGGCACCCAUUGCGGCAACAGGGGCACCCUAUCCUGACAGUGAGGGCCAGCCUUUACGUGCCUUUGCUGGACCUUCCUCAUCUACAAGUGUUGUUGAAGAUGACCUGUUUCCCUCGAUGAGUACGACAGUAAUCGAGGUGUCAGAGGAGGUUAGAACACCUCUGGGUUCACCUCAAGGGAGUGGCCUCACAAGUAGUGAACCAACACGAGAGGAGCCCCCACCAUCGGCCUCAUCCAGUGCCCGACGACCCAGUGCCCAAAAACCCAAAGGAAAUUCGAGAUCUGCUGAAGGACCUGGUGGAGGAGCAACGGACGAAUGGAAACCAUCUUCGGGAUAUCGCUCAAGGUCUUACGGAAAUGGGGAAGUUAGGCAACCAGGUACAGGAUGUUGGCCAAAGUCUUAGGGAAAUAGGCGAGGCAUUGAUGGUCAUAACGGGGGCUAUCAGUUCUAGAAAGUAGUUUUUUAAGUUAUUAUUGUCAUAAAUUAAGAUUUGAAUAUUUCUAUAUAAAAAUAGUUUAUAUAAUCAUUUUCAUUAUUAACUUUAAGAUCUUUGAUGGUGCUUGUCAAGCCAAUGCCACAGAGGGGGGAUAUCCAGCACGACAGGAAUCAUUCCAUAUUUUUUCUCUCUUAGUGCAUUAUGAUGUGCCACUAUAAAAAAAAAAUCAGAGAGAACCAUCAUACAAUGAAUAGGAUGAUGCCUAUUCAUGAACGUUAAAAGACAAGAUAGCUAAAGUUUAUUUUUUGCCAAGUUGUGUUA
Eriocheir sinensis (Chinese mitten crab) is the source of this 1079-nucleotide long non-coding RNA. RefSeq lists it as uncharacterized. The record is from RefSeq and is a predicted model, not a curated record. The transcript is spliced from 5 exons. Lineage: Eukaryota; Metazoa; Arthropoda; Malacostraca; Decapoda; Varunidae.